AUACGAAAGGGGCAAGCGUUGUUCGGAUUUACUGGGCGUAAAGAGAUCGUAGGUGGUUUAUCAAGUCGGAUGUGAAAUCCCGGGGCUCAACCCCGGAACUGCAUUCGAUACUGGUAGACUUGAGUUAGGGAGGGGGAUGCGGAAUUCCGCGUGUAGCAGUGAAAUGCGUAGAUAUGCGGAGGAACACCAGAGGCGAAGGCGGCAUCCUGGACCGAUACUGACACUGAGGAUCGAAAGCGUGGGUAGCAAACAGGAUUAGAUACCCCAGUAGUCC
RNAcentral lists this ribosomal RNA (274 nucleotides) under uncultured bacterium. RNAcentral describes it as "partial 16S ribosomal RNA". It matches the Rfam family "Bacterial small subunit ribosomal RNA", at positions 523 to 796 of the family's 1533-position model. The record is from RNAcentral.